GCAAGAUAGGUUAAACCGAAGUGGACUUGAAAUCCAAUUUUAUUAUCCGAGCGAUAAGUCUUGCU
RNAcentral lists this transfer RNA (65 nucleotides) under Ancyrocephalus mogurndae. Its description in RNAcentral is "tRNA-Ser". The record is from RNAcentral. Lineage: Eukaryota; Metazoa; Platyhelminthes; Monogenea; Dactylogyridea; Ancyrocephalidae.